ACCCACUCCCGGCACGGGGAGGUAGUGACGAAAAAUAACGAUACGGGACUCAUCCGAGGCCCCGUAAUCGGAAUGAGAACACUUUAAACCCUUUAACGAGUAUCCAUUGGAGGGCAAGUCUGGUGCCAGCAGCCGCGGUAAUUCCAGCUCCAAUAGCGUAUAUUAAAGUUGUUGCGGUUAAAAAGCUCGUAGUUGGAUGUGUGUCCCACGCUGUCGGUUCACCGUUCGUCGGUGUUUAACUGGCAUGCCCGUGUGGACGUCCUGCCGGUGGAUGCGGUCGGCCGUGGGCUUCGGUCUGCGCGUCGGCGGUCCGAUGCAAUCCCGCCGCGGUGCUCUUCACCGAGUGUCGAGGUGGGCCGGCACGUUUACUUUGAACAAAUUAGAGUGCUUAAAGCAGGCAGUGGUUCGCCUGAAUAUUGUGUGCAUGGAAUAAUGGAAUAGGACCUCGGUUCUAUUUUGUUGGUUUUCGGAACUUGAGGUAAUGAUUAAUAGGGACAAAUGGGGGCAUUCGUAUUGCGACGUUAGAGGUGAAAUUCUUGGAUCGUCGCAAGACGAACCUAAGCGAAAGCAUUUGCCAUAAGUGUUUUCAUUAAUCAAGAACGAAAGUUAGAGGUUCGAAGGCGAUCAGAUACCGCCCUAGUUCUAACCAUAAACGAUGCCAGCUAGCGAUCCGCCGAAGUUCCUCCGAUGACUCGGCGGGCAGCUUCCGGGAAACCAAAGCUUUUGGGUUCCGGGGGAAGUAUGGUUGCAAAGCUGAAACUUAAAGGAAUUGACGGAAGGGCACCACCAGGAGUGGAGCCUGCGGCUUAAUUUGACUCAACACGGGAAACCUCACCAGGCCCGGACACCGGAAGGAUUGACAGAUUGAGAGCUCUUCUUUGAUUCGGUGGAUGGUGGUGCAUGGCCGUUCUUAGUUGGUGGAGCGAUUGU
RNAcentral lists this ribosomal RNA (930 nucleotides) under Mnesilochus mindanaense. RNAcentral describes it as "SSU rRNA". It matches the Rfam family "Eukaryotic small subunit ribosomal RNA", at positions 443 to 1314 of the family's 1831-position model. Lineage: Eukaryota; Metazoa; Arthropoda; Insecta; Phasmatodea; Lonchodidae. The record is from RNAcentral.